GGUGAACGAGAGAAAACACAAACCAGAGUCAAAACAGCCAUAGAGAUGGACGGAGAUCUGCCGCCGGCACCGGCUCCGUUGUCCAUCCACCCGGCCGUAGCACCGCUAUCAUUCUUACUCGGAACAUGGAGAGGCAGAGGCGACGGGGGAUUCCCCACCAUUAAUUCCUUCUCUUACGGCGAGGAGCUUCACUUCUCCCAUUCCGGCAAGCCGGUGAUUUCCUACACUCAAAAGACUUG
RNAcentral lists this unclassified non-coding RNA (239 nucleotides) under Hevea brasiliensis (rubber tree). Lineage: Eukaryota; Viridiplantae; Streptophyta; Magnoliopsida; Malpighiales; Euphorbiaceae. The record is from RNAcentral.